CACCCCCUUGUGCCCUCUGGCUGGUUCAAAGCAGCAACCCCCGGCAGUAGUCCAGCAUACUGGGCUUGGACAUAGAAGGUCACCCCCAAAGCACAGCAAGGAGAGGUGUUAUAAUCUUCUAAUCAUGUGGCGAUGGAGAUGGCAAGGACUUCAUUAAAGCAGCGACAUAAAUUAGAUUGACAGGGAGAGCUGCCCGCCCCCUGAAGGAGAACAGGAAGGCGACAGCAAAGACAAUCAAGUCCUUCAGUAGACUGACCUUCGACGUCUGAAAAGACCGAGAAACGGUCACGUUGCGGGGGUGGUAACCUAAGCAGAGAUGCCCAGACUUCCCUCUCUCCAAUUCUGAAGUGUUGCCAGGCCAGUUGAAAGACAUCGUCUCUCUCUACGGGAGGCAUCCUUACCAGAUACCGGAGCCACAAAGGAGCGUUCUUUAAAAAGCCAGGUGGCGCCAUGCUAACCAAUAGGCUCCAGCAUACCUGUGACCCUAGGGAUGAUAGAAGAUGGAUGGAUGGAAUGCUAACCAAGGAUAAAUAGACACCAGGUUCUCAGACUAGAUCUUAUCUGAUGAGUGUUGAACGGAGGAAGCCUUCUAAGACAACCUCAACACUCCAGUUGCAAGCUUUUAGCUUUUGUGUGAUAUGUUUUUUUUUUCAAAUAAAAUAUAAAACUGCAAAGUAUGUUUUUUAAUAAAAUAUUCCUGUCACUAUUAAGACCGAGUCUCUCAUGAACAGAUGUUCGGGGAAAACUGCUUAUGUCUCUG
Non-coding RNA from Doryrhamphus excisus (bluestripe pipefish), 760 nucleotides. The record is from RefSeq and is a predicted model, not a curated record. NCBI's taxonomy places the organism in Eukaryota, Metazoa, Chordata, Actinopteri, Syngnathiformes, Syngnathidae.